AGAAAUUUCAAAGUCAACCCUUGUUCAGUGUAAAUAGAAAAAUAAGCUUUUCGUUAAUCGUGAUUCUUCGGUUGCUUCUGUUUCUGUUUUCCUUGAUCAGUCACCAUGGUUUCGAGGUCUCAUGGAACAUCAUCUGAACCAGGAGAUGAAAACACCAACACCUCUUUUCAUGAGAUGAAGAUUGAAGAAACAGGAGACGAAUUCUUCCAUCGCAACAUUGGGCGAUAUCGUCAUCGAAAAGACACCAAGGAUACUUCAAAAUUGGGAUGGGCUUUUGUUCUCACAAACCUCCUGCUAGAGAUCCUGGUGCUGGCUUUUGACCAAAUGGCCUCGCCGCAUCAUCCUCAAUAUGGUUUGAUCGUUUGGGGAUUGUCUUCGGCAGUCAUGUUUAUUAGCAUCGCUGAGCUCAUUUACAAAGGAAUGAUCAAGGAAAAGCUUAGCGUAUUGCAAUGCUUGAAAUCUCUGCUUCCUUUUUCUUCUUCUGGCGGUAAGAAACCAUAUAGCUUCGUGGAUGGUUUGAUCCUACUUGGUGCCAAGGUUCAAAUGGUUUUGGCAAGCAUUGCAUAUGCUUAUUUGCGUCAAGGUAAAGAGAAUCCAAUCAAAAUUUCUCUUGUAUCGCUAGUUUUCAUGGUAUGUUAUGCUUUUUCUAAAUUACAUAAGGAUGGGAAUGAAGCAAACCUUCUUCCAGUUAGACAGGAGAAUUGAAGAUGGUUUGGCAAUUGCAUAAACUAUGAGCAUCAUUCUUGCUCAUUUCAUGUUAAUCUUUAGUUUCUAUAUCUACAGUUCCUACUGUACCAAAGAUAAAUUCUAUUGUUGUCGUUAAAAAACUUCAUGAUUAUGCAUCUCAAGUUUUUUUGUCUCAAGUUUUUUUGUGUUAAUUUGUACUACUGGGCUUGAAAGCCCAAGACUACUCAAAACACACCAAUGGAAACUCCCUCCACUUGCAAGUUUCUCUACUCGACCACUCCUUCACUGUAGCUAGGUGCAGGGAAGACGGCAAUCCCCUGUUCUGAUUCUAUAAUGUAGGCUGUCAUAUUUUUGUUCAGUAAAUUUUGAAGUUUUU
RNAcentral lists this unclassified non-coding RNA (1063 nucleotides) under Hevea brasiliensis (rubber tree). Lineage: Eukaryota; Viridiplantae; Streptophyta; Magnoliopsida; Malpighiales; Euphorbiaceae. The record is from RNAcentral.